GCUCAGUUGGUAAAGCACAAAGCUUUCAACCUUGUGGACGUGGGUUCAAGCCCCAU
RNAcentral lists this transfer RNA (56 nucleotides) under Triticum aestivum (bread wheat). It matches the Rfam family "tRNA", at positions 10 to 63 of the family's 71-position model. From Rfam's summary of the family: Transfer RNA (tRNA) molecules are approximately 80 nucleotides in length. Their secondary structure includes four short double-helical elements and three loops (D, anti-codon, and T loops). The record is from Rfam by way of RNAcentral. Lineage: Eukaryota; Viridiplantae; Streptophyta; Magnoliopsida; Poales; Poaceae. RNAcentral also lists the same sequence under 1 other name.